RNAcentral lists this ribosomal RNA (510 nucleotides) under uncultured bacterium. Its description in RNAcentral is "partial 16S ribosomal RNA". It matches the Rfam family "Bacterial small subunit ribosomal RNA", at positions 28 to 507 of the family's 1533-position model. The record is from RNAcentral.
GACGAACGCUGGCGGCGUGCUUAACACAUGCAAGUCGAACGAAGAGCGACGGAAGCUUGCUUCUAUCAAUCUUAGUGGCGAACGGGUGAGUAACGCGUAAUCAACCUGCCCUUCAGAGGGGGACAACAGUUGGAAACGACUGCUAAUACCGCAUACGAUCUAAUCUCGGCAUCGAGGAUGGAUGAAAGGUGGCCUCUACAUGUAAGCUAUCACUGAAGGAGGGGAUUGCGUCUGAUUAGCUAGUUGGAGGGGUAACGGCCCACCAAGGCGAUGAUCAGUAGCCGGUCUGAAAGGAUGAACGGCCACAUUGGGACUGAGACACGGCCCAGACUCCUACGGGAGGCAGCAGUGGGGAAUCUUCCGCAAUGGACGAAAGUCUGACGGAGCAACGCCGCGUGAGUGAUGACGGCCUUCGGGUUGUAAAGCUCUGUUAAUCGGGACGAAAGGCCUUCUUGCGAAUAGGGAGAAGGAUUGACGGUACCGGAAUAGAAAGCCACGGCUAACUACGUG